Molecule: ribosomal RNA, 1001 nt
Filed under: uncultured cf. Anaeromyxobacter sp.
Lineage: Bacteria; Pseudomonadati; Myxococcota; Myxococcia; Myxococcales; Myxococcaceae
Description: bacterial SSU rRNA
Rfam family: Bacterial small subunit ribosomal RNA
Source: RNAcentral
AACGAACGCUGGCGGCGUGCCUAACACAUGCAAGUCGAGCGAGAAAGCCCGCAAGGGUGAGUAAAGCGGCGCACGGGUGCGUAACACGUGAGUAAUCUGCCCUGGAGUCCGGAAUAACUCGCCGAAAGGCGUGCUAAUGCCGGAUGAGACCACGGGAGCCUCGGCUCCUGCGGGAAAAGGUGGCCUCUGUACACAAGCUAUCGCUUCAGGAUGAGCUCGCGGCCCAUCAGCUCGUUGGCGGGGUAAUGGCCCACCAAGGCAACGACGGGUAGCUGGUCUGAGAGGACGAUCAGCCACACUGGAACUGAGACACGGUCCAGACUCCUACGGGAGGCAGCAGUGGGGAAUCUUGCGCAAUGGGCGAAAGCCUGACGCAGCAACGCCGCGUGUGUGAUGAAGGUCUUCGGAUCGUAAAGCACUGUCGCGAGGGACGAAUAAGGGGCGAGCUAACAUCUCGUUCCGAUGACGGUACCUCGAGAGGAAGCACCGGCUAACUCUGUGCCAGCAGCCGCGGUAAUACAGAGGGUGCAAGCGUUGUUCGGAAUUAUUGGGCGUAAAGCGCGUGUAGGCGGCGAUGAUAGUUGGGUGUGAAAGCCCUCGGCUUAACCGAGGAAGUGCGCCCAAAACUGCAUGGCUUGAGUACCGGAGAGGGUGGCGGAAUUCCCGGUGUAGAGGUGAAAUUCGUAGAUAUCGGGAGGAACACCAGCGGCGAAGGCGGCCACCUGGACGGAUACUGACGCUGAGACGCGAAAGCGUGGGGAGCAAACAGGAUUAGAUACCCUGGUAGUCCACGCCGUAAACGAUGAGCGCUAGGUGUUGUGGGUGUUGACCCCUGCAGUGCCGCAGCUAACGCAUUAAGCGCUCCGCCUGGGAAGUACGGCCGCAAGGUUAAAAUUCAAAGGAAUUGACGGGGGCCCGCACAAGCGGUGGAGCAUGUGGUUUAAUUCGACGCAAUGCGUAGAACUUUACUUGGUCUUGAUAUCCUCGGAAUCNUUCAGAGA